GAUGAACGCUGGCGGCGUGCCUAAUACAUGCAAGUCGAGCGAACGGACGAGAAGCGUGCUUCUCUGAUGUUAGCGGCGGACGGGUGAGUAACACGUGGAUAACCUACCUAUAAGACUGGGAUAACGGCGGGAAACCGGAGCUAAGACCGGGUGAUAUUUUGAACCGCAUGGUUCAAAAGUUAAAGACGUUCUUGCUGUCACUUAUAGAUGGAUGCGCGCUGGAUUAGCUAGUUGGUAAGGUAACGGCUUACCAAGGCAACGAUGCAUAGCCGACCUGAGAGGGUGAACGGCCACACUGGAACUGAGACACGGUCCAGACUCCUACGGGAGGCAGCAGUAGGGAAUCUUGGGAAAUGGGCGAAAGCCUGAAGGAGCAACGCCGCGUGAGUGAUGAAGGUCUUCGGAUCGUAAAACUCUGUUAUUAGGGAAGACCAUAUGUGUAAGGAACUGUGCACAUCUUGACGGUACCUAAUCAGAAAGCCACGGCUAACUACGUG
RNAcentral lists this ribosomal RNA (497 nucleotides) under uncultured bacterium. RNAcentral describes it as "partial 16S ribosomal RNA". It matches the Rfam family "Bacterial small subunit ribosomal RNA", at positions 28 to 507 of the family's 1533-position model. The record is from RNAcentral.